This is a long non-coding RNA of Triticum urartu, 1338 nucleotides long. RefSeq lists it as uncharacterized. Lineage: Eukaryota; Viridiplantae; Streptophyta; Magnoliopsida; Poales; Poaceae. The record is from RefSeq and is a predicted model, not a curated record.
CAAACCCAGCCUUCCUCUCGAUCUCAUCUGGACAUCCAGCCCAGCCCCGCCCCUCACAGCCGGCCGCCGCCUCCUCCUACCCCGCCGCCACGCCUACCCCUACACCAAGUGCCAACACACCAGCGCCCAUCCACUACCGGGGACCCGCGGCCUUCUACCGCCGGCGGCACUCGACGUCGCGGCCAUUGGCGGCUCCCCGACCUUUCUACCAUGGCGCCUCCGGGACUCCUCCCCGCUGCUUCCACCUCGACAUUGGUUUCCCCAACCCCGCUGGCUUCGCCACCAGCCACUCCUUCUAGGCACACUCUAUCUGCCGUCGGACCCAUCUGCCUGGUUCCAAUGGUGAACAUCGCUGCCACCCUAUUGUGAGGCGAGGUGAUGUUCUUCGAACUGCCGGCUUGAUUCUGCCUAGAAGGGGAUAUCAUACUUCUCCUAAUCAGGAUUGUUGUGUAACUGAAUGAUGGUAGGAUGCUGAAUAAUAAUGGAAGAAAAAGGAGUACAGGCUUUACCUAAUGUACCUACAGCAACAAUGGGUUGCCCCACCAAACAUCACUAGAGGACUAGGAAGGAAAACGGUGAUUUCUCAAUCAGGUUCUAUUGGCCGUUCUAGCAUUAGCAUCAUGAAGAUUCUGGAACAGUGCACGACAUGCCCAAUCCCAAGGUCUUCCCUUAGCUGGUGAAGCACAUGAGCCGGUGUCAAGCAAUAUCCCCUGUAUACUUUGUCCUUGUGUUCUUUCCAGGUAUGCAUCCAUAUCAGCUGCAUCAGGGAGCUCCAUGCACAGUGGUACUACUUCCGAACGUGUAGAACAUGCAAUUGUAUGUAAAUCGCCUUGAAAUGAUGGUUGCUGAAUACUGCAUUAUGCUUGAUAGUCAUCUACCUGGACGACUUCAAGCGCUAAUAGAUGCAAAGCAUCCAGGAUGUGAUCAAUCAUAUGCUGGAGAAUGGCAUUGAGACCUUACUUCACUGGAUAAUGGCAUUUAUAUGCGAUUCCAGUCCUUUCACAGUGCAGGUGAACUGGAAAUUCUAUCAAAGACAACUGUCCUUUCUUCAGUGUACAUGCAUGAUAUUACAUGAUUAAACAUACCAUUUUUAACUUCAUUUAGUUGUCUAUAUUAUGCUCUAUGUGCUAUUACCAACAAAAAUAGUGUUACCUCCGUACCAGGCCUUCCAAAUAUCUUAUUUUGGUACGGAGGUAGUACUUUUAGCCUGCAAAGCGACUUCUAUGCCCAUUGUGGCAAUAAUGUGUUUGCACCACUGAAGAGAUAACUUAUUUUUUUCAUUGUAAGAAACACAUCAUGUUUCUUCCCCAUCAUUUAAGUGUGUGCCAUGUUAUCUUU